GAUGAAGAACGUAGCGAAAUGCGAUAAGUAAUGUGAAUUGCAGAAUUCAGUGAAUCAUCGAGUCUUUGAACGCACAUUGCGCCCCCUGGUAUUCCGGGGGGCAUGCCUGUCCGAGCGUCAUUGCCGCCCUCAAGCACGGCUUGUGUGUUGGGCCCCCGCCCCCCGGCUUCGGGGGGCGGGCCCGAAAGGCAGCGGCGGCACCGCGUCCGGUCCUCGAGCGUAUGGGGCUUCGUCACCCGCUCUGUAGGCCCGGCCGGCGCCCGCCGGCGACCCCAAUCAAUCUUUCCAGGUUGACCUCGGAUCAGGUAGGGAUACCCGCUGAACUUAAGCAUAUCAAUAAGCGAGGA
This 347-nucleotide unclassified non-coding RNA is filed under the name soil metagenome. RNAcentral's name for it is "partial contains 5.8S ribosomal RNA, internal transcribed spacer 2, and large subunit ribosomal RNA". The stretch from base 1 to 120 matches the Rfam family "5.8S ribosomal RNA", at positions 35 to 154 of the family's 154-position model. The record is from RNAcentral.